This 498-nucleotide ribosomal RNA is filed under the name uncultured bacterium. RNAcentral describes it as "partial 16S ribosomal RNA". It matches the Rfam family "Bacterial small subunit ribosomal RNA", at positions 28 to 507 of the family's 1533-position model. The record is from RNAcentral.
GACGAACGCUGGCGGCGUGCCUAAUACAUGCAAGUCGAGCGGACGGAUGGGAGCUUGCUCCCAGACCGUCAGCGGCGGACGGGUUAGUAACACGUGGGCAACCUGCCUGUAAGACUGGGAUAACUCCGGGAAACCGGGGCUAAUACCGGAUAACUCUUUCCCUCACAUGAGGGAAAGCUGAAAGAUGGCAUCUCGCUAUCACUUACAGAUGGGCCCGCGGCGCAUUAGCUAGUUGGUGAGGUAACGGCUCACCAAGGCGACGAUGCGUAGCCGACCUGAGAGGGUGAUCGGCCACACUGGAACUGAGACACGGCCCAGACUCCUACGGGAGGCAGCAGUAGGGAAUCUUCCGCAAUGGACGAAAGUCUGACGGAGCAACGCCGCGUGAGUGAUGAAGGUUUUCGGAUCGUAAAACUCUGUUGUCAGGGAAGAACAAGUACCGGAGUAACUGCCGGUACCUUGACGGUACCUGACCAGAAAGCCACGGCUAACUACGUG